Molecule: unclassified non-coding RNA, 289 nt
Filed under: uncultured fungus
Lineage: Eukaryota; Fungi
Description: sequence contains ITS1
Source: RNAcentral
GAUGACCACCGAAUGCCGCGCGCACCGCGACUAGGGAUACAUUUUUAGGCCAACCGCAGGACAAAGCCGACGGGAAGCCACUUUACGACCCCCGCACAUCUCAACAAUCCCACUAAAGGACUGCGGAGGUUUGGAGGGCAACGGUGCGUGACGCCCAGGCAGACGUGCCCUCGGCCUAAAGGCUUCGGGCGCAACUUGCGUUCAAAGACUCGAUGGUUCACGGGAUUCUGCAAUUCACACCACGUAUCGCAUUUCGCUGCGUUCUUCAUCGAUGCACGAGAGUACGUCC